UACGAAGGGGGCUAGCGUUGCUCGGAAUCACUGGGCGUAAAGGGUGCGUAGGCGGGUUUUUAAGUCAGGGGUGAAAUCCUGGAGCUCAACUCCAGAACUGCCUUUGAUACUGAAGAUCUUGAGUCCGGGAGAGGUGAGUGGAACUGCGAGUGUAGAGGUGAAAUUCGUAGAUAUUCGCAAGAACACCAGUGGCGAAGGCGGCUCACUGGCCCGGUACUGACGCUGAGGCACGAAAGCGUGGGGAGCAAGCAGG
RNAcentral lists this ribosomal RNA (253 nucleotides) under uncultured bacterium. RNAcentral describes it as "partial 16S ribosomal RNA". It matches the Rfam family "Bacterial small subunit ribosomal RNA", at positions 524 to 776 of the family's 1533-position model. The record is from RNAcentral.